Molecule: long non-coding RNA, 465 nt
Organism: Asparagus officinalis (garden asparagus)
Lineage: Eukaryota; Viridiplantae; Streptophyta; Magnoliopsida; Asparagales; Asparagaceae
Exons: 3
Source: RefSeq, a predicted model, not a curated record
AUCUCUUUCUCCUUUUCCCGUCAGCCUCUUCCUUCCUUUCCUGUUUUUGUUUCGCCGCAUAAAAAAAAUCAAAUCUUUGAAUGGCGACUUGAUCAGUUUAACACGAGGAAUACGGGGUUUCAAGUGAUUUUGAGGAGGCGUCAUGACUGGUAUUCCGAUAGCUUUUCAGAGACUCGGGAUUAGGUGGAAUUGAUGAUUUUUUCAAAUUCUUAGAACGGAGCAAGGAAUAAAAUUCGAGAUUGUUAUUGUCUUUUAAGUGAAGGUUAAAUAAUGUCAUUGAUGUUUAGUUGACAAAUUGAGAGUUUUGGAAUAAUAAGAUUCUUUCCUUUAGGUUGAUUUUUAUUUCGAGUUGAUGAAUAUUUGUUUAUACCAAGUUAAUUGGAUCAAUGUUGACUUUUUGGAUUAUAGAGAAUAUUUAUUGUUGGUUUUAUUUUCAAUGAGAUUUUUUAAUGGCCUUUUGAUGAA